RNAcentral lists this transfer RNA (104 nucleotides) under Thermoproteus uzoniensis 768-20. RNAcentral describes it as "tRNA-Pro". It matches the Rfam family "tRNA". Rfam says of the family: Transfer RNA (tRNA) molecules are approximately 80 nucleotides in length. Lineage: Archaea; Thermoproteati; Thermoproteota; Thermoprotei; Thermoproteales; Thermoproteaceae. The record is from RNAcentral.
CGGGCCGUAGUCUAGCCUGGUAGGACGCACGGCUCGGUACGGCGAGGCGCGGCCCAGCCGUGAGCAAGCCCGUGUGAUCCCGGGUUCAAAUCCCGGCGGCCCCA